Molecule: long non-coding RNA, 893 nt
Filed under: Phasianus colchicus (ring-necked pheasant)
Lineage: Eukaryota; Metazoa; Chordata; Aves; Galliformes; Phasianidae
Description: lncRNA (ENSPCLG00000011195.1)
Source: RNAcentral
GGUGUCAUUACUCAGUGGUACAAGAGUGCGUGCAUGCGUGUUGGGGGGGGAAUAAUUGUGCCAUUAAUGAUUGCUAUUUUGAUUACAGGAUGCAAUUGUCACUGCGGUUGGAAGCCAAUCAACGCGUUGUGAGUGGGAACCUGCUGGUACUUUCCAAUGGUCCUUGAUUAAAAAGGAAGCUCUUGGCUAUCUUCAAGCAGCAGGAGAGGAAACAGCGCGGCGAAGAUACUCAGAUGCAGUGGAAUUCAAGCAUGAAACUAAACAGCUUCUCAGAUAUUAUCUAUUCAGCCAUCUGCUUGACAGACAAUGGAUAACCUUCCAGAUUCAUGGAGCUGCAUCUGCCUUUUAAUCCUGGUAAAAAAGGGAAAAGGUUACAUUGUGAUAUCAUCAGGAGCAAUAUUGGACAACCUAGGACCUCCUACGUUUGGCCUAUGACUGAAGAUCUCCAUCCUCCUCCAACAAGAAGCACACUGCAAUCCCUCCUAAAUCCAGUUAGUUGGAUGGGACCAGAAAGGUGCCUGAAACUGCUUAUCUGUGGGAGCUGCUCCUGUCAUUACAUCCCUGGUGAGGACAGCAGGCAUUGCACAAGAAGGAACCUGCAGUGAUAUUGAUGCUCCACUAGCUCCAACCAAGGUACAACCUGCUUCACUUUCCACGUAGCUCAGAGGGAAAUCAGAAUAGUUCAACAACUGAACUUGCAUUUAGUGCAGAGUGCCCUGAGUGGGAGGGAAGGGUAAGGAAAUCUAUUUAGGUAAAGGCAAAACAUUUUGCUUGACAGGUUUUUUUUUGUUUUUUUUUUUUUUUUUUUUUUUUAAUUUAACGUGAAUUAAGAAAUGGUUGAGUGCCACGAAAACAAAAUGAAAGCUUUCAUUUUGGGUCAAAUGGGAUGUUGC